Molecule: long non-coding RNA, 3765 nt
Organism: Orcinus orca (killer whale)
Lineage: Eukaryota; Metazoa; Chordata; Mammalia; Artiodactyla; Delphinidae
Exons: 4
Source: RefSeq, a predicted model, not a curated record
GCCCCGCCCCGCCCCGCCCAGGUCCGGUGGCCGCAGCCCCUCCCGCCUCUGGCUCGGCCCUUCCCACCGAGUCGGCCGGCCUUGACUUCCCGCCAUCCUCCCCGUUUCCUCCCAGCAGUCCUGGGGUCUUUCCAGUCAGUCAUCUUCGGCUGCUUUCGUCCCGGAGUAAGUGGAGGCCUCGCCCUUCCGGUUGUCCCCUGGUUUCCGUCCUUCUCGAGCCCUCUGCUUUGGGAGACCCCUUCCCCGGUGGUCGGGGCCGAGGUUCCUUAACCCCAGGCCGGCUGCCGCAGAAUGAGGGCUCUUCUUGCUUUGGCCUCGAUUUAAACAGAAGCUGCCUGGCCUUAUGUCUCCCUGGGGCGGCUCCUUGCAAACCUUCCCUCGUGAAGCACACUAUUACUCGGCACAGCAUGCGGAGCAGGAGGAAUUAGAAGCUCGCCGUCCAGUGGCAGCACGGAGUCUUAACCCCUGGACCACCAGAGAAGUCCAGAAUCCUGUUUUCAUAAUCUGUCAAAACGGAGCGAAAUACCCACCUUUCAGGAUCGUUGUGGGACCCUGUGGAAAACACCCCCGUCUAGUGAACACCCAAGACUGCCACAGUCCCUCAAAGAAACUGGAUGUUCUGCGAGCAUAUACUCCCCAUACGGUAGAUGAAGGCCAGGAGAUCACAGAGAUGAAGCGUGAAGCCCAGGCAGGCGAAGACUCGGGAACCCGGUGUGCCGACUCAGCUGAGGACAGCAGUGAAGGCUCUGCUCUGAGGCAUGUGGGAUCUUAGCUCCCCAGCCAGAAAUCGAACCUGCACCCACUGCAUUGGAAGGCGAAGUCUUAACCACUGGACUGCCAGGCAAGUCCCUUAAAUUUUUAAUAAUGACUACUUAAUAACUGAUUUACAAAAUUCUUAAAAAUACAACAAUCAGCUCUUGCAAGCCAGAAAGAGCUGGUUCCAGUUAUCACUGUGUGGGAGCUUGUGAGAGAUGCAAAAUCUUGGGCCCCACCCCAGACCUACUAAAUCAGACUACCAAUAUUAACACUUUUAACAAUGUCCUCAGGUAAUUUGUAUACAUGUUAGAGUUUGAGAAAUGUGGCCCUAGAGGUAACCACUGUUUCUGAUUUUGUUUAUGUCUUUUAGACCUUUUUCACAACACAGAUGCAUAUAUUUUGAAAUGAUUUUUUUCUGGCUUUUUCUUUGCACAAUUUAAAAUAGAUCUUAUUUUUAAGAGCAGUUUUAGGUCCACAGCAAAAUCGAGCAGAAGGUACGGAGGUUUCCCGUAUACCCCCUGACCCCACACAUGCACGGCCUCCCCCAAUAACAGCAUCCUCAGCAGAGGGUACUUUUGUUACAAUUAAUGAAUCUACAUUGACACAUCAGUAUCACCCAGAGUCCCCAAUUUACAUUAGGGUUCAUUUGGUGUUGUACAUUCUAUGGGUUUCAGCAGUGUGGAGUCUUAACACUGGUCGGCCAGGGAAGUCCCUAGAUUUUCAAAUAUUGAUCUUAUAUUUGGUUACCUUGCCAAUGUUUCUAUUAAUUUUUAAUAUUUUGUCUGUAGAUACUUUGGGGACAAUUGUAUGUUAUUAAUGAUAGUUUUUUUUUUAUUUCUGAUCUUUAUGACUCUAAUUUAUUUUUCUUGUCUUGUUGUAUUUGCCAAUGUGAUUUAAACAGAAGUGGUAAGAUUGGGCAUCCUUAUCUUAUUUUUUAUUUGAAGGGGACUGAUGUUACAUUCUUACGUUUCCUCAUUAGAAUAGGUUUUUAGAAAAAUUGAAAUACAGUUGAUUUACAAUGUUAUAUUAGUUUCAGGUGUACAGUAUAGUGAUUUGGUAUUUUUAUAGAUUGUAAUCCACUUAAAGUUAUCAUAGAAUAUUGAUUAUAUUUCCUGUGCUGUAUAUUAAAUCAUUCUAUCUUGUUUAUUUUAUACCUAGUAGUUUGUACCUCUUAAUCUCCCUCUAUCUUGCCCUUUCCCCCACCCUUCUCCCCACUGGUAAUCACUAGUUUGUUCUUUGUAUCUGUGAGUCUCUUUCUGUUUUGUUGUAUUCAUUCGUUUUAUUUUUUAAAUUCCAAGUGAAAACGUCCAGUAUUUGUCUUUUUCUGACUUCACUAAGCAUAAUGCACUCCAGGUCCAUCCAUGUUGUUGCAAAUGGUAUCCCAUACGUUUCUGUCAGUUAAUCUUAGUAGGUUAGGGCUUCCCUGGUGGUGCAGUGGUUAAGAAUAUGCCUGCCAAUGCAGGGGACAUGGGUUCGAUCCCUGGUCCGGGAAGAUCCCACAUGCCGUGGAGUAACUAAGCCUGUGCACUACAACUACUGAGCCUGCGCUCUAGAGCCUGAGAGCCACAGCUGCUGAGCCCGCAAGCCACAACUACUGAAGGCCGCACGCCUAGAGCCCUUGCUUCACAACAAGAGAAGCUACUGCGAUGAGAAGCCCGCGCACUGCAAUGAAGAGUAGCCCCCGCUAUCUGCAACUAGAGAAAGCCCACGCGCAGCAAGGAAGACCCAACUCAGCCAAAAUAAGUAAAUAGAUUAAAAAAAAAUCUUAGUAGGUUAAAGUAUUUUCUUCUAUUCCCAGAGUUUUUAUGAACGAGAAAAUUUGUCAAAUGGUUUUUCUGCAUCAGUUGAGAUGCUCAAAUUUUCAUCCUUUAAUCCGUUAGGGUGGUAUGUGAUAAUGAUAGAUUUUCAAAUUUAUUUGAAACUUAUUGAUAGACCACUCAAAUUUCUGGAAUAAAUAAAACUUGGUCAGAAUAUAUCUUCUUUGUAAUAUACUGUUGUAUUCAGUUGCUAACAUUUUGUUUAGGACUUUUUACUUUUACUUGUUACUCUAUCUUCAUGAGUAAGUCUGGCCAGGGAUUUUUUUUUCUCUCAUAUUGUUCAUGUCUGGUUUUGGCAUCAAGGUUACAUUAGAUUUAUAGUCUCAAUCAGGGAUAAUUUUCUUUGUGGCAGAAUCUGUUGCUGAUUCUCUAAUAGUUAUUCUGACCCUCUUUCUUUAGCAACAGAACUCCAAUUUUUAGCUGGACACAUAGCUAAAGAUUAUUUUUCCCAGCCUCUCUCAUAGUCCUUCAUGUGAUUAAAUUUUGGCCCGUAUCCCCUCAUCAGCACCAUAGUAAGUGAACUCUUUAUAGACCCAAAUCCUGAGAUUUAUGAUUCCUACUUUGAGAAAUAGGUCCCUGAGGCGUUUAUUUCUAAUCGUGACUAGUUUCAUUAAAACUAAAAAUAUGAUCUAGUAUGUAGACUUCAUAUAUAUUUAUAUUUAUACAUUUGGGUAGGAUUAGAGAAAUAUUUUCAUUGCUUCUUGAUCUAGACUUGCAGCUUCUCUAGAUAACUUAAGUGGAAAGAAUAUCAAUUAUUGAAGUCAUUAAACUGGCCACUAUUUGCAUGAAAGAAUGUCAGUUAUAAACCAUUUUCAGCUUUUAAAAAGAUCUUUAAAGAAUUUGUCUUCAGUUGUAAGAAAGCUUUCUCCUAAACAUGUGAACAAAUGCAACUUUCAUAUUAAACUGAAAAUAUUCCAAAUUUUACAUGCAUUGUAGCCAGAACCACAGAGAGAAGCUAACCAAAUGCAGAGGAAUAUUUUUCAGUUUCUACAAAGAAAUAUGGCCUCUUGUUUUUCUUGAAACUCAGCUCUCUUGGAGUGUCUGAUUUUUUUCCACGUUUGAUAGAGAAGUGGCUACAAAGAAAUGUUUCUGUGCUCUAAAAAAAAUGAUUAAGGCGGGGCUUCCCUGGUGGCCCAGUGGUUGAGAGUCCGCCUGCUGAUGCAGGGGACACGGGUUCGUGCCCCGGUCCGGG